AUUUUUUCGAAUAUAUUUUUUUUUUUUUUUUUUGAAAUGUUGCAAAUGUUUAUGUAAUAGAAAAUAUAUUAAUAUGUAUAUAAAUAUUUGGCAAAAAAAAAAAAAAAAAUAAAAAAAAAAAAAAAAAAAAAGUUAUAAUAAAAGCAUAAACUUAGUUGUCACAAAUAAAAAAAAAGAAUAAGAUAGUACAACUAAACUUGCUUACACAUAUAAGUAACUAUUUUUUUUUUUAAAUACCUUUUUGUUUAACUGUAAAAUUGUUAAGUAUUAGAACUGUAAUCGAACAUAUACCGAAGUUAUGUCAAAGGAAUAUUAUUAUAAUUAUUACAAACUUUUUUUUUUUUUUUUUUUUUUGUUCUUUUGUGGUGCUUUAAAUGUACAGUAAAAUAUAUUUUAUCUUUUUUUUAAACCAAUUAUUACAAAAUAUAACAUAUUAUGUGUGUAUUAUUCAUUAUUAGCCAUUUCCCCUUUUCCAUAUAUAUAUACAUAUAUAUGUAUAUUGCUUUUAAUUAAGAAUGAGCAUUCAUAUAUAACAACGGUUUAUACAUGAACGUGUAUUGGAAAAAAAAAAAAAAGGAAAAGGUUAUUAAAAAAUGGGGCAAUAAAAUUUACUAAUAAACAUAUAUAGAAAUAACUUUUACUAUCUAUGUGAGUAAAUAAAAAAUGAGUAAAAACAUAGUACGUUAUUCCGAGAGUAAACUUAUGAUAUAUAAUUCAAUUUUUUAAAAACAUAAAUCACAACAAAAAAAAGAAAAAAAAAAAAAGUGAUAUUAAUGAUAAUAAAAAAGAUAUUAUAAAUAUUAUUCCAUGUUACCAUCUAAAGAAAGUUUACAAGAAUUUAUAAAAAAAAAAAAAAAAAAAAAAAAAAACCAUCAUGUGGGCAUAAACUUAUGAUUUACAUUUAAUAAAGUUUAAAAUAAGUUCUUUUUUUUUUUUCCUUUUUUUUUUUUUUUUUUUUUUUUUUUUUUUUUUUUUUUUAGCAGUUUUAUGUUCAGGUUUUCAAAUUUUACAUAAAUUUGGUAGUGAUGAAGUAUUUGAUACUUAUAGUAUAAUUGCUUUUUUUUGCAAUGGGUAUAUUAGGAGGUUAUAUUCAAGCAAUAGCAUUUAGAGUAGCAACUACAUUAAAAAAAAAAUUAUAGUGGUUAUAUAUCUACAGGAAUUGGUUUAUCUUCAGUUAUAACUUUUUCAAUUAAUUUAUUACUUGAUUUGUUUGUUAGCCAAGAAAAGAAAUAUAAAAUAAACAAACAGAAAUUACAAUUUUUGUUUGGUGU
This 1271-nucleotide long non-coding RNA is filed under the name Piliocolobus tephrosceles (Ugandan red Colobus). RNAcentral describes it as "lncRNA (ENSPTEG00000019957.1)". The record is from RNAcentral. Lineage: Eukaryota; Metazoa; Chordata; Mammalia; Primates; Cercopithecidae.